This 253-nucleotide ribosomal RNA is filed under the name uncultured bacterium. RNAcentral describes it as "partial 16S ribosomal RNA". It matches the Rfam family "Bacterial small subunit ribosomal RNA", at positions 524 to 776 of the family's 1533-position model. The record is from RNAcentral.
UACGGAGGGGGCAAGCGUUGUUCGGAAUUAUUGGGCGUAAAGGGCGCGUAGGCGGCCGGAUAAGUCUGACGUGAAAUCCCCCGGCCCAACCGGGGAACUGCGUUUGAAACUGUUCGGCUCGAGUCCGGGAGAGGGUAGUGGAAUUCCCAGUGUAGCGGUGAAAUGCGUAGAUAUUGGGAGGAACACCGGUGGCGAAGGCGGCUACCUGGACCGGUACUGACGCUGAGGCGCGAAAGCUAGGGUAGCAAACAGG